GCAAGUCGAACGCGAACGAGUUCUUCGGAACUUUAGUAGAGUGGCGCACGGGUGAGUAACGCGUAAGUAAUCUACCCUCGCAUCUGGGAUAACCCACCGAAAGGUGUGCUAAUACCGGAUACGUUGAUUUAUCAAGAAAGGUGGCCUCUGAUUCAAGCUACUGUGCGGGGAGGAGCUUGCGUACCAUUAGCUAGUUGGUAGGGUAACGGCCUACCAAGGCGACGAUGGUUAGCGGGUCUGAGAGGAUGAUC
RNAcentral lists this ribosomal RNA (251 nucleotides) under uncultured bacterium. RNAcentral's name for it is "partial 16S ribosomal RNA". It matches the Rfam family "Bacterial small subunit ribosomal RNA", at positions 57 to 305 of the family's 1533-position model. The record is from RNAcentral.